AUGGUAAGAGGAAUACGGGGCUGCCAUAUAGACUUUGUCCUCAGCUGUACCACUAAUUCCAGCAACUCACGUGGCCUCGGAGAAACACCCAUCAUCACCUUUUGGCUUCUUUCGAGUAUGGAACUAACUGGAUCCACACCUCCAACACUAAAAUGGGAAACAUGUACAUGGUUCGGAGCAAUAGAAACAUCAUCAUCAUGUUUGUGCUUCUAUUUCAGAGAAGGGCUGGAAGGAAGGAGCCAAGAAGGGGACUGCCUCCUGCUGCGCGUUCCCCCUGCCGCGGAUGCCGAGGCCCGGAGCGGGGUGCUCUGCGGCGCCCCAUGUGUCUGGCCGUGUUGCAGAAAGAGCAAGCAAAGGAGAUGGAGGGGGAGAACGGCACUCCCCCCACCAGCACGAGGAAUGGUGGACGUGGAGGGAGGAGGCAGAGGCCUUUGUAAGACGCACUCUGGAGCCAUAGAGCCAGGAUCCACCCACGGUCCACGGUCUCUUCCGAGAGCGGGCAGCCCCCUCCUCCUCCUCCCUGUGUCCUUGGGACUUGGAGCCGCACCUCCGCGCGCAGGCAGGAAGCGUGGCCUGCUGUGCACGCUCCGGGCACCCGGCCAGCAGCUGUGGAGGGGGCCCCCUGCGCACCCUGGUCACCGCUCCUCUGUGGCAGCUUUCUCUUCAAAUAGGAAGACCAUCCCGAGGACGGGGCCCUCCUCUUGUUUGCAGACGUUGGUGAGCCCCGAGGCUCCCAGAGCAGCCUUUGUCACCACCCCUGCGUAGCAGACCUGACAGGGCAGGCGUAGAAAUUCUUCGGUGCCGUGCAGCCUGCGAGGAUCAGCUGUGUGCCUCGUACUGUGUCCACUCUGCAAUAUUCACCGAACCCGUCUUUCGUUCUCUCUCUCUUUCCUGGUUUCCCUUUUUCGACUAAUAACAGCAGGCCUUUUGCGUUUACAGUGGAACACAAUCACCAAGAAAUUAGUCAGGGCGAAAAGAAAAAAAUAAUAAUAAUAAUUAACCAACAAACAAGAACCUCUCUUUUUAGGGAUUUCUACAUAUAUCAAAUGACUGUUCCUUAGAAUGUUUUAAGAAUUAUUUCAGUUUGUCGGGGCCACCUUGGGGGCUGGGGGCGGGGGGGGGGGGCGGCGAGAGAGGGAGAUGGAUGCCAUUUACCUCAAAUCUUUUCAAAUGGAAAUCCAAAUUGCGUUUUCCUUUGGACCGUUCAGGAUCAUUUUCUAUGUCGGUUAGCUUUUUGUUUUCUCCGACUCCCCCAGUGUGGUUUGGGAUGAUUUGUUUCAUUUGGUUCUUUUCUUCCUUCGUUGCUGUCCUCCAUCCCGUUUCUGACUCUGGACCGUGACCCUCUGUGUUUUCUGUUAGGUGAGUGUGCUGGGUUUUCUCUCCCACCGGGAAGUGGCAGCACCCCUCCUUCUCCCCUCUAAGGAACUCUGCAGAACCUUUCACACUUCUAACUCAGGGACGGGGCUGGCGUGUGUGUGGUACACUGGUGUGUCCAGAAGCAGCACUUUGGCUGUUCUGGAGUAGGGUUGUACAACGUCAAGGAAUGUUUGGAUUUCCUGCAUCUUGUGGAUUCCUCCUUAGAUACUGCAUAGAUUGCAAUAUAAUGCUGCAUGUUCCAGAUGAACAGUAGCUCCUAGUAAUCAUAAAAUCCACUCUUUGCACAUAGUUUGAUCUUUACUGAAAUACGUUGCCAAAAUUUAUUUUUGUUGUGGUGUAGCUCUGGAAUUUUUUUGUUUUGUUUUGUUUUUUAAGAAAACAAUUGACA
This 1765-nucleotide long non-coding RNA is filed under the name Sus scrofa (pig). Its description in RNAcentral is "lncRNA (ENSSSCG00070025718.1)". Lineage: Eukaryota; Metazoa; Chordata; Mammalia; Artiodactyla; Suidae. The record is from RNAcentral.